AUUGAACGCUGGCGGCAGGCCUAACACAUGCAAGUCGAGCGGAUGAAGGGAGCUUGCUCCUGGAUUCAGCGGCGGACGGGUGAGUAAUGCCUAGGAAUCUGCCUGGUAGUGGGGGAUAACGUCCGGAAACGGGCGCUAAUACCGCAUACGUCCUGAGGGAGAAAGUGGGGGAUCUUCGGACCUCACGCUAUCAGAUGAGCCUAGGUCGGAUUAGCUAGUUGGUGGGGUAAAGGCCUACCGAGGCGACGAUCCGUAACUGGUCUGAGAGGAUGAUCAGUCACACUGGAACUGAGACACGGUCCAGACUCCUACGGGAGGCAGCAGUGGGGAAUAUUGGACAAUGGGCGAAAGCCUGAUCCAGCCAUGCCGCGUGUGUGAAGAAGGUCUUCGGAUUGUAAAGCACUUUAAGUUGGGAGGAAGGGCAGUAAGUUAAUACCUUGCUGUUUUGACGUUACCAACAGAAUAAGCACCGGCUAACUUCGU
RNAcentral lists this ribosomal RNA (483 nucleotides) under uncultured bacterium. RNAcentral's name for it is "partial 16S ribosomal RNA". It matches the Rfam family "Bacterial small subunit ribosomal RNA", at positions 30 to 506 of the family's 1533-position model. The record is from RNAcentral.